RNAcentral lists this ribosomal RNA (492 nucleotides) under uncultured bacterium. Its description in RNAcentral is "partial 16S ribosomal RNA". It matches the Rfam family "Bacterial small subunit ribosomal RNA", at positions 29 to 507 of the family's 1533-position model. The record is from RNAcentral.
AGUGAACGCUGGCGGUAGGCCUAACACAUGCAAGUCGAACGGCAGCACAGUAAGAGCUUGCUCUUACGGGUGGCGAGUGGCGGACGGGUGAGGAAUACAUCGGAAUCUACUUUUUCGUGGGGGAUAACGUAGGGAAACUUACGCUAAUACCGCAUACGACCUACGGGUGAAAGCAGGGGAUCUUCGGACCUUGCGCGAUUGAAUGAGCCGAUGGCGGAUUAGCUAGUUGGGGGGGUAAAGGCCCACCAAGGCGACGAUCCGUAGCUGGUCUGAGAGGAUGAUCAGCCACCCUGGAACUGAGACACGGUCCAGACUCCUACGGGAGGCAGCAGUGGGGAAUAUUGGACAAUGGGCGCAAGCCUGAUCCAGCCAUACCGCGUGGGUGAAGAAGGCCUUCGGGUUGUAAAGCCCUUUUGUUGGGAAAGAAAAGCAGCAGGUUAAUACCCCGCUGUUCUGACGGUACCCAAAGAAUAAGCACCGGCUAACUUCGUG